GCCUGGGUGGCUCAGUGGGUUGAGUGUCUGACUUCGGCUCAGGUCAUGAUCUCACAGUUUGUGGGUUCGAGCCCCGCCUUGGGCU
Molecule: transfer RNA, 85 nt
Filed under: Felis catus (domestic cat)
Lineage: Eukaryota; Metazoa; Chordata; Mammalia; Carnivora; Felidae
Rfam family: tRNA
About the family: Transfer RNA (tRNA) molecules are approximately 80 nucleotides in length. Their secondary structure includes four short double-helical elements and three loops (D, anti-codon, and T loops). Further hydrogen bonds mediate the characteristic L-shaped molecular structure. tRNAs have two regions of fundamental functional importance: the anti-codon, which is responsible for specific mRNA codon recognition, and the 3' end, to which the tRNAs corresponding amino acid is attached (by aminoacyl-tRNA synthetases). tRNAs cope with the degeneracy of the genetic code in two manners: having more than one tRNA (with a specific anti-codon) for a particular amino acid; and 'wobble' base-pairing, i.e. permitting non-standard base-pairing at the 3rd anti-codon position.
Source: Rfam by way of RNAcentral